GACAGAGGUCCCGAGCGUUAGGCGGAAUCACUGGGCUUAAAGCGUGUGUAGGCGGCGGCCUAAGUCCCUUGUGAAAUCCCACGGCUCACCCGUGGAACUGCUCGGUAUACUGGGUCGCUUGAGCCACUUAGGGGCUACCGGAACAAAUGGUGGAGCGGUGAAAUGCGUAGAUAUCAUUUGGAACGCCAAUGGUGAAAACAGGUAGCUGGGAGUGUGCUGACGCUGAGACACGAAAGCCAGGGGAGCAAACGGG
Molecule: ribosomal RNA, 253 nt
Filed under: uncultured bacterium
Lineage: Bacteria
Description: partial 16S ribosomal RNA
Rfam family: Bacterial small subunit ribosomal RNA
Source: RNAcentral